RNAcentral lists this ribosomal RNA (356 nucleotides) under Clostridioides difficile DA00154. Its description in RNAcentral is "bacterial SSU rRNA". It matches the Rfam family "Bacterial small subunit ribosomal RNA", at positions 8 to 374 of the family's 1533-position model. Lineage: Bacteria; Bacillati; Bacillota; Clostridia; Peptostreptococcales; Peptostreptococcaceae. The record is from RNAcentral.
AGAGUUUGAUCCUGGCUCAGGAUGAACGCUGGCGGCGUGCCUAACACAUGCAAGUUGAGCGAUUUACUUCGUAAAGAGCGGCGGACGGGUGAGUAACGCGUGGGUAACCUACCCUGUACACACGGAUAACAUACCGAAAGGUAUGCUAAUACGGGAUAAUAUAUUUGAGAGGCAUCUCUUAAAUAUCAAAGGUGAGCCAGUACAGGAUGGACCCGCGUCUGAUUAGCUAGUUGGUAAGGUAACGGCUUACCAAGGCGACGAUCAGUAGCCGACCUGAGAGGGUGAUCGGCCACAUUGGAACUGAGACACGGUCCAAACUCCUACGGGAGGCAGCAGUGGGGAAUAUUGCACAAUGG